This 565-nucleotide ribosomal RNA is filed under the name uncultured archaeon. RNAcentral's name for it is "bacterial SSU rRNA". It matches the Rfam family "Archaeal small subunit ribosomal RNA", at positions 312 to 879 of the family's 1478-position model. The record is from RNAcentral.
CGCGAAUCGCCCUUCGGGGUGCACCAGGCGCGAAAACUCCACAAUGUACGGAAGUACGAUGGGGUUAUCUCGAGUGCAGUCCGAUAAGGGCUGCUUUUCCAUAGAGUAAUAUCCUGUGGGAAUAAGAGGGGGGCAAGACUGGUGUCAGCCGCCGCGGUAACACCAGCCCCUCGAGUGGUGGGGACUAUUAUUUGGCCUAAAGCGUCCGUAGCUGGCUGUAUCCGUCCCCCGUUAAAUCCAGCGUCCUAAGCGUUGGACCGCGGGUGAUACCAUACAGCUAGAGGGUAGGAUAGGUGAGCGGUAUUUCUGGGGUAGGGGCGAAAUCCUUUGAUCCCAGGAGGACCACCAGUGGCGAAGGCUGCUCACUAGAACACGCCUGACGGUCAGGGACGAAAGCUGGGGCAGCGAACCGGAUUAGAUACCCGGGUAGUCCCAGCUGUAAACGAUGCUAGCUAGGUGUUGGGUCGGCCACGCGCCGCCCCAGUGCCGCAGGGAAGCCGUUAAGCUAGCCGCCUGGGGAGUACGGCCGCAAGGCUGAAACUUAAAGGAAUUGGCGGGGGAGCAC